Molecule: transfer RNA, 85 nt
Filed under: Candidatus Heimdallarchaeota archaeon
Lineage: Archaea; Promethearchaeati; Candidatus Heimdallarchaeota
Description: tRNA-Leu
Rfam family: tRNA
About the family: Transfer RNA (tRNA) molecules are approximately 80 nucleotides in length. Their secondary structure includes four short double-helical elements and three loops (D, anti-codon, and T loops).
Source: RNAcentral
GCCAUGGUGGUGGAAUUGGCAGACACUCAGGAUUUAAAAUCCUGUGACCGUUUAGGUCGUGCGGGUUCAAGUCCCGCCCAUGGUA